GAAGAGAUAAGUGCUGAAAGCAUCUAAGCACGAAACUUGCCCCGAGAUGAGUUCUCCCUGACUCCUUGAGAGUCCUGAAGGAACGUUGAAGACGACGACGUUGAUAGGCCGGGUGUGUAAGCGCAGCGAUGCGUUGAGCUAACCGGUACUAAUGAACCGUGAGGCUUAACCUUACAACGCCGAAGGUGUUU
RNAcentral lists this ribosomal RNA (191 nucleotides) under Escherichia coli. RNAcentral describes it as "partial 23S ribosomal RNA". It matches the Rfam family "Bacterial large subunit ribosomal RNA", at positions 2758 to 2925 of the family's 2925-position model. The record is from RNAcentral. Lineage: Bacteria; Pseudomonadati; Pseudomonadota; Gammaproteobacteria; Enterobacterales; Enterobacteriaceae.